This is a small nuclear RNA of Rattus norvegicus (Norway rat), 107 nucleotides long. The record is from Ensembl. Lineage: Eukaryota; Metazoa; Chordata; Mammalia; Rodentia; Muridae.
GGGCUCACUUUGGCAGUCCAUAUACCAACAUUGAACCGAUACAGAGAAGAUUAGCAUGGCCACUGUGCAAGGAAGACACACAGAUUUACAAAGUAUUCCAUAUAUUU